UACGUAGGGUGCGAGCGUUGUCCGGAUUUAUUGGGCGUAAAGAGCUCGUAGGCGGUUUGGUAAGUCGGAUGUGAAAUCUCCAGGCUCAACCUGGAGGGGUCAUUCGAUACUGCCAUGAAUAGAGUUCGGUAGGGGAGUGUGGAAUUCCUGGUGGAGCGGUGAAAUGCGCAGAGAUCAGGAGGAACACCCGUAGCGAAGGCGGCACUCUGGGCCGAUACUGACGCUGAGGAGCGAAAGCGUGGGGAGCGAACAGG
RNAcentral lists this ribosomal RNA (254 nucleotides) under uncultured bacterium. RNAcentral's name for it is "partial 16S ribosomal RNA". It matches the Rfam family "Bacterial small subunit ribosomal RNA", at positions 524 to 776 of the family's 1533-position model. The record is from RNAcentral.